ACGUAGGGGGCGAGCGUUGUCCGGAAUCACUGGGUGUAAAGGGUGCUCAGGCGGGUCGAUAAGUCAGAGGUGAAAUUUCACAGCUUAACUGUGAAUGUGCUUUUGAUACUGUCGGUCUAGAGUGCAGAAGAGGGCAAUGGAAUUCUUGGUGUAGUGGUGAAAUGCGUAGAUAUCAAGAGGAACACCAGUGGCGAAGGCGACUACCUGGUCUGUACCUGACGCUGAAGCGCGAAAGCGAGGGGAGCAAACGG
Molecule: ribosomal RNA, 251 nt
Filed under: uncultured prokaryote
Description: partial 16S rRNA
Rfam family: Bacterial small subunit ribosomal RNA
Source: RNAcentral